UUUUUCUUCUUCACCGCGACUAUUUCCACUCUCUUCCGCCGCGCCAUGGCCAUCACAUCGGCACACACAGAACUUCUUUUCCGGUAAGUCUACUGCGCUCUCUUCUCUUUUUUCUUCCCAUUCUUCUUUCUUCAUUUCUUCUUCUUCUUCUUCUUCUUCUUCUUCUUCUUCUUCUUCUUUUAUCUCUCUCUCUCUUUCUCUCUCUACCCGACCAUGAUUCUUCUCUCUCUUCUUCUCCUUUUUCUAGUCGAGCAUCACCGCGUCACACAACCCGCGCAACUCUCCUCCUCUUUCUUUCUCUUUCAGCUGCGUCGUCGCGCAACACUGCGCAACUCUUCUCUCUCAACUGUCUACGCCACUCGAUCCUUCCUCUCCUCUCACAGUCAUCUCUCUCUCUCAUUGCGACUCUCAUCUCUUUCUUUUUUUUUCUUUCUUUCUUUCUCUGCUUUUUCAUUACAUAUAUAUACAUAUAUAUAUAUAUAUAUUAUUGUUACAUGUUUUCUUCUUCUGCUCCUAGAUUUCACCUUUGGAUUCUUUUUUUUUUUUCUUUAAUUCUCUUUUUUUUUUCAUUUAUAUGUGUGUAUAUAUAUAUAUUUCAUUUCACCUUUGGAUUCUUUUUUUUUUCUUUAAUUCUCUUUUUUUU
RNAcentral lists this long non-coding RNA (643 nucleotides) under Carica papaya (papaya). RNAcentral describes it as "long non-coding RNA (CPAP_LNC016241)". Lineage: Eukaryota; Viridiplantae; Streptophyta; Magnoliopsida; Brassicales; Caricaceae. The record is from RNAcentral.